Molecule: ribosomal RNA, 519 nt
Filed under: uncultured eukaryote
Lineage: Eukaryota
Description: SSU rRNA
Rfam family: Eukaryotic small subunit ribosomal RNA
Source: RNAcentral
AGGGCACCACCAGGAGUGGAGCCUGCGGCUUAAUUUGACUCAACACGGGAAAUCUCACCAGGCCCGGACACUGGAAGGAUUGACAGAUUGAGAGCUCUUUCUCGAUUCGGUGGGUGGUGGUGCAUGGCCGUUCUUAGUUGGUGGAGUGAUUUGUCUGGUUAAUUCCGAUAACGAGCGAGACUCUGUCCUGCUAAAUAGUUCCCGCGUCCUUUGUUGCGCGGGAAAUUCUUCUUAGAGGGACUGGCGGCGUCUAGCCGCACGAGAUUGGGCAAUAACAGGUCUGUGAUGCCCUUAGAUGUUCUGGGCCGCACGCGCGCUACACUGAAGGGAUCAGCGUGUCUUCCCCUCCCGAGAGGGACGGGUAACCCGCUGAACCCCCUUCGUGGUAGGGAUCGGGGCUUGCAAUUAUUCCCCGUGAACCAGGAAUUCCCAGUAAGCGCAAGUCAUAAGCUUGCGUUGAUUACGUCCCUGCCCUUUGUACACACCGCCCGUCGCUACUACCGAUUGAACGUUUUAGUG